AAAGUCUAACCUGCCCAAUGAAUAUAACAAUUUAAAUGGCUGCGGUACCCUGACCGUGCAAAGGUAGCAUAAUAAUUAGUUUUUUAAUUGAGAACUAGAAUGAAUGGUUGGACGAGAAAAAGACUGUCUCAAUUUAAUUUAUAUUAGAAUUUAAUUUUUAAGUUAAAAAGCUUAAAUAUAUUUAAAAGACGAGAAGACCCUAUAGAGUUUUAUAUUAAAUUUUAUAUUUAAUUUAAAGUAUAAUUAUAUUUGAAGUAUAUUAUUUAGUAUUUUAUUGGGGCGAUAGAAAAAUUGAAUAAACUUUUUUUAAAUUUAAACAUUAAUUUAUGAUUAAGUGAUCCA
Molecule: ribosomal RNA, 342 nt
Filed under: Coptorhina klugii
Lineage: Eukaryota; Metazoa; Arthropoda; Insecta; Coleoptera; Scarabaeidae
Description: partial 16S ribosomal RNA
Source: RNAcentral